AGUAGGCAGGAGGGGUUGCCUGGUGAAGAGCAGGCAGGGAGGAGGCUCACAGGGGAGAGACGUUGACCUUCUAGCUCUAGGCUGAGUUUUAGGUUUAGUGUCAGCACUUGGGGCUCCAGCUAGCUCCAGCUGGGAUUCUAAGGGGCAAGUGCAGGUGAGUGGGAACAGCCGAGCCUGCGGGGCAUCUCCUCUGAAGCCCUCUGGGGAGUUGGAGCCGUCACACCUGGUCCCUUUCAACCCAGGCCUAGCAGACAAUGCAGAAGAGCCAAGAAGCCGAGUCCGGCACCUUGAUCUCUCUGAGCCUCCUGUUGGGGGAGGACCCAGAACACCUGUCCCAGCAACUGCGGGCUACCAGUCUACGGGACAGGGAGCCACUUGGCUCUCCCGGCCUCUCCAAGGUGGGCUCAGAGUACCUGCCCUUCUGCACAUAUGAGCAGCCCCUGGCUGUGGAGGAGCUGGCCCAGCUGGCUGAAACCGGCCCAGGGCACGAAGCUGGCUGGAGCAGCCAAGGGAGCCUGUUCCUCGAGGACUCAGCGCCACCCAGUGGCUUCUUCCCGUACUACCGUUCCCAGGAAGAGCACCUCGCCAGUGCCACCACCACCCCUCAAGGCUGCAGCUGGUGUCUGGGCUCCAGAGACCCCUUUCCGGGAAGUGAGACACAAGAUGGCUGCCACAAAGUCACAGCCAGAGAUGGAUGCCUUUCUCUCUUGGCAGGGCCAGACCUAAUCUCUGGGUUUCCACCCUCACCAGUCUGCUGCUGCUGCUUGCGAGGGCACCAUGCUCAUGAGGCCUCAGGAUUUGUACCAUACUACAGGAGCCCCGAAGAGAGGCUACGGGCCAGCCCUGUGGUUUCCUCCUCUGUGCUGGGGAGUUCAUGGGAGUGACCCCCCCAACCUGGUGCUGCCAGCCUGGGAAGGCGCAGGAGUGAAGGCAGUGGGGACUUCUGGGGAGUCAUACUCCAGUGCCUCCUGAUCAUCGAGGGACAAGGGGAACUGGAACAGAGGCCCCCCACAGCUCAGGCCACCUGCCCUGGGACCCCAGCUGGCCUAAUCUCCCAGCUUGUUCCCACUUGUGUCCAUCAACUGAGGAGAAAGUCGGAGAGGAGUCAGGCAGUCCUUGGCCCUCAGAACCUGGUACAGAAGAAAACACAGGAGCUCCAGCACCGUGCACUGGCGUUUUGGGUGUGACGCAGUUGGCAUGCUAAUUCUGUUUUAUCGAUGAUAAAGAAGCUGAGGCAGAGAAACCCGGGCAUUUAUGCAGCGGGGUGGGGAUUGUGGGCCUUCAGGAAAGUCACUUCCCUUCUUGAGUCCUGGCCUGAAGGAGCAUUUGGGGCUUGGAGUGGAGCCGCCCACGAGUCUCACAAUCAUCACCACUGAGUGACAUUAGCGAAUUUAUUUGACCUCCCGCCUGAAAGCCUGGUGUAGCCUGGCAGAGCUGACUGCCCACCCGCAAGAUGGGAGCCUGGUUACUUACAAGCUGCAAGUGAUCCUGAAGUAAGGUUUGUUGUUUGUUUUUGUUUUUUGUUUUUCCUCCAGUCUACAACUCCCAAGAAGACUCUCAGUGGCUCCUCUGGCACUCUCAGAGAGUCCUCCCUGGCCCCCGCAGCCUCGCUGGCAUCCUCAGACUUCUUGCUGGACCUUUUUAAUGCAGACCCCAGCUCCUUACCAGCCCGUGGCAGGAAACCCCUCCAUUCUGGCAACCUCGCUGUCCUGGAGGCCCCGAGUGCUGUGCAGCAGCGCCCCCUCCUGGCGCAUCUUGUCAGGACAGCUGGCUUCCCUGAGAUCUACAGUUUGAUUGUUCAGACACUGCCUAAGAAGGCACCACACCUACCUUACUUAUAAAGAGCGACACCACCAGCCACCAGCUGCAGCAGCCUCUCAACCCUGGUGCAGCGACCUGGCAGCCAGAGUCCUCAAACGGCCAAUCCACCCUCACUCCCCAGCCACAUGCUAUCACGCAGCUCCCGAAGUCUCACCGGGUGGACGACAGACUGAAAAUCAUCUGAGCAUUCUCUGGGCAGAGCCCAGGGAACUGUCUUUGCGGAAGGAACCCUGUUCCCAAUGACAAGCUCACAGAGCAAACCUGAAGUCAGUGUGGCCCUUUUCUCCCUCCAGUUACCUCCCACAGCCUGCACAAGAACAAUACAGGCCCAAAGCACAUGUGGGGCCUGUCACAGGCAUCAGUCAAAUGUCUUUCUGUUGGUGGGGGAAGGGGUCUAGUGAUCAGCACAAAAGCCUGGAGGCUGAAAAGAAGCCAGGAUUCUGUGGGACUCUGGGAAAGGCGCCUGGGGACCUCCUUAGCUCUGCCAUGAUUAGGACUCCCUCUGACAUAAAGUGGCUGGCCCUUUA
RNAcentral lists this long non-coding RNA (2348 nucleotides) under Mus musculus (house mouse). Its description in RNAcentral is "predicted gene 3045 (Gm3045)". Lineage: Eukaryota; Metazoa; Chordata; Mammalia; Rodentia; Muridae. The record is from RNAcentral.